Molecule: non-coding RNA, 689 nt
Organism: Parasteatoda tepidariorum (common house spider)
Lineage: Eukaryota; Metazoa; Arthropoda; Arachnida; Araneae; Theridiidae
Source: RefSeq, a predicted model, not a curated record
AAAAAGUGUAUAAGAUUUUAAAAACAGUAAGUUCAUGCACAUAAGAAAAGCUUCAGAUUCAGCGAAAGCUAAAUUUACAAUAAUUUUUUGUGGAGAAUCUUUAAGUGGAAAUAAAAAAAUAAAUUUCAAUUAACUCUUUGGAAGAUUUUAAACGCUGACCUUAUAUUUUGUGAUCCUAGAGGCGAACUUAGAAAAUUUUGUUGUUUUAUUGAUGACGAUUCUGUUAAUAAAAUUUCGUAGCCUGCAAGUUAUUUUUCUCAUUCAAAUUUCUAAAAAAUAUUAUUCUAAUUUUUACUUAAUCUUUCUGGGUGUCCGUUGUAUAAUGUUUUUUAAAUUUCUGCUAAAAGUUUACUGAAAAAAUUUUUUACUGUAUAUCUCAAGUUAAUAUUUACAUAAAAAUAAGACCCUUUUUUUUCCCUUUUAGCUCUUCAAAUGUUGGUAAACCUGUGCCAGUCCACCAUGAAUUUCUGAUUUCGAAAAAUGUCAAGCAUUUUUUGUUGCAGUUUUAUUGCAGUUUUUCAGAACUCUUCUGUGCUAUUCCAAGUGAUUCUAUGUAGACAAAGAUAUGAUUUCUCUGUUGUUUUUAUUAUUUUUAAAAUUAAAUUGAAAUUUGUGUAAUAUUUGUAUUGAUUAAGGUUAUGUCUUUGUAUUUAUAUGUCUUUGUAUAAUAAAGUGUUUGCAAGAGACAA